UACGGAGGGUGCAAGCGUUAUCCGGAAUCACUGGGUUUAAAGGGUGCGUAGGCGGCUAUGUAAGUCAGUUGUGAAAUACCUCGGCUUAACCGAAGGAAGUGCGAUUGAUACUGCGUAGCUUGAAUCAGGUUGAGGUAGGCGGAAUGUGACAUGUAGCGGUGAAAUGCUUAGAUAUCUGGAGGAACACCGGUGGCGAAGGCGGCAUCCUGGACCGAUAUUGACGCUGAUGCGCGAAAGCCAGGGGAGCAAACGGG
Molecule: ribosomal RNA, 254 nt
Filed under: uncultured bacterium
Lineage: Bacteria
Description: partial 16S ribosomal RNA
Rfam family: Bacterial small subunit ribosomal RNA
Source: RNAcentral